This 254-nucleotide ribosomal RNA is filed under the name uncultured prokaryote. Its description in RNAcentral is "partial 16S ribosomal RNA". It matches the Rfam family "Bacterial small subunit ribosomal RNA", at positions 524 to 777 of the family's 1533-position model. The record is from RNAcentral.
UACGGAGGAUGCGAGCGUUAUCCGGAUUUAUUGGGUUUAAAGGGUGCGUAGGCGGCCUUAUAAGUCAGCGGUGAAAUUUUGCAGCUUAACUGUAACAGUGCCGUUGAUACUGUAGGGCUAGGAUUUGGUUGCUGUGGGUGGAAUGUGUGGUGUAGCGGUGAAAUGCUUAGAUAUCACACAGAAUAUCGAUUGCGAAGGCAGCUCACAAAGCCAAGAUUGACGCUGAGGCACGAAAGUGUGGGGAUCAAACAGGA